Setaria italica (foxtail millet) is the source of this 2154-nucleotide long non-coding RNA. RefSeq lists it as uncharacterized. Lineage: Eukaryota; Viridiplantae; Streptophyta; Magnoliopsida; Poales; Poaceae. The transcript has 4 exons. The record is from RefSeq and is a predicted model, not a curated record.
CUACCGUCCGUCUCUCUCUCUCGCCUCUCGGGGCGCCGCCGCCCCGCGCCACCUUCGCGCACCAGCAGACCGCCCUCACCGCCGCGAAUCGCCGCCUGGCUGCGCUGGGGAAGAAGAAGAGGACAAGCACUCUCGGUCGGCCGGCCGGGCCACCAGAAAGCGGGUGCGCAGCCACGCGCGCGAGCCGGGCGCGCGACACCUGCGCGCAUUGGUGAUCACGGCGGCGGGCCGGGGCCUAGGGGGCGUCGCAGCCUGGUGCAGCUGCGACUGGGAGCGGUCGGGGCACGUGAGGGGAGCCGUCCCUGCCCGCGCAGUCGGCCGCUGGCCACGACCAACCCCAGUUGAUGGGCAUGGAUCCACCUCCACGACGCCGAUGUCACCGCGCUUCUCUCGCCGCCACCCUUCCUGGUAAGUGGCGGCCGGAGCGUCGCGCGCCCGGAGGCGGCGGCUGAGCCGCUCCUCUGCCCCUCCGUCGAGGGACACCCCAGGCUCCGCAUACGCCGCCCAACCCAACCCCCAAUCGGCGGCUAAACAUAGAGGUCGAUGUUCAGGUGCGGACCCAUGCGCAGGGCGAGGGAGAUGCCAGGCGUGGCGCCACCACGGAGGGGGACGCGGCCUUCUCGUGGGCACCCGUCAUACUUUGUCUGCUGAUCUCAGUGGCACCACUUGGUUCAACCGGUCAUCUGUGCAACUAGGCCUUGUGGUAAUCCAAAUUUCUGUGAUUCCUAAGCUUUCGUAUCUCCCUUUUCAUAUCAAUUAUCAAGAUCCAAAUGAGUUUCCUUUUCCUUUUAUUCAGGCAAGUGGUUCACUUUAUGGAGCUUUUGGUGGCUCUAUUCUCGCACACCACAUUUGAACUGAAAAGCUAAACCAAUUUAAUUAUCCUCACCAUACUUGUUUGAUAAGGGGGUGAAUAACCAUCUUGAUACAGGAAGGAGAAUAGAAUUGGUCACCGCAGCUGCACUAUAUAUUCUUGGUGCUUUGGUCACUGGAUUUGCCCCUAAUUUUGUAGGUCUAAUCAUAGGUCGUAUCCUUUAUGGGAUUGGUAUUGGUUUGGCAAUGCAUGGUGCCCCACUUUAUAUUGCAGAGACUUCUCCUCCGCAAAUACGUGGAACAUUGAUAUCUUUGAAGGAGCUGUUUAUGCGUUAGGAAUACUGGUUGUCGUUUGAAAACCACAAACUGCAAAUGAGGUUGCUACAACAUUAUAUUAAUGUGCAGUGAGGUGUUGUCUGUUGUACUACGAGAAGUGUAGCUGCACUUCAAUUAGUUUUGCCAGUCGACUUAAGGUGAUGAAUCUGUACUUAUCUAACACUCACUCAAUAACAUUUUUUACCUAAUGUUCUCAAGUGGUACUGAUCAAGUGUAGCUACAUAUGUUGCUUGUCUGAUAAAAAAAAGUAGCAACAUGUUCAUAUAGAAUGUUUUUGAGAAUAGUCAAUAUUUUAGGUUGUAUAGAUACAGCUGCAAUGAAACCUUCUCAGUGAUACAUUCUUUGACCUAAGCUAGGUCACGGUUGGGCACUUCAAAUAGAACUCUCAUUUGAUGUGCAUGUGUAUAUAUAAAAAGGUUUGAUGAAUCAGCGCUAGCUUCCUGCGUUAACAUAUUCUGGCCAGUGGUGUGUAAGUCUUUGACACCUCUCACAUACUGUUGUUGUUUUUCCCCUUACAUUAGAAAGCAUGCUAGGAUUUAGUACCUGAGAGGUGCAAGUAAGUUCUUUGACACCUCUCAGAUUCUGCGUUGCUUGGAUGUGAAAGUAAAUUGACUAUAUUUAUGUAUGAUGGAACUCUUGUUCCCAUUUUAACAUUGCGAACUUCGAUGGAUAGAAUCCUAAUGCUGGAUUGGCAGCUGUUGCAACCUGUUCUCAUGUUGAUGCUGGAGGAGUUUGAUUAAGCUUGAAAAUUCAUAAUAAUAGAAGCUAUGUUUUACAUCAUAUUGUUUUAUUUUUACAAAAUUUUGAUAUGAUAAGAACAAUGUUUUUAUUGGUAAUGCAAUCAAUGGCCAUACAUCUUUGAAAAGUAGAAUAUGUGCUCUUAAAUGGAACCGGCUGCUUUUAUCGCCAAAACUUAUGAUUCAUAUGUUGGGAGAACUACGUCGAGGGGUGGGAAAGAAGGCAAAAUCAUAUGCUCAAGUUACUGAUGAAGAAGAAACUUAUGUUUUA